AUUGAACGCUGGCGGCAUGCCUUACACAUGCAAGUCGAACGGUAACAGGAAACAGCUUGCUGUUUCGCUGACGAGUGGCGGACGGGUGAGUAAUGUCUGGGAAACUGCCUGAUGGAGGGGGAUAACUACUGGAAACGGUAGCUAAUACCGCAUAACGUCGCAAGACCAAAGAGGGGGACCUUCGGGCCUCUUGCCAUCGGAUGUGCCCAGAUGGGAUUAGCUAGUAGGUGGGGUAACGGCUCACCUAGGCGACGAUCCCUAGCUGGUCUGAGAGGAUGACCAGCCACACUGGAACUGAGACACGGUCCAGACUCCUACGGGAGGCAGCAGUGGGGAAUAUUGCACAAUGGGCGCAAGCCUGAUGCAGCCAUGCCGCGUGUAUGAAGAAGGCCUUCGGGUUGUAAAGUACUUUCAGCGGGGGGGAAGGGAGUAAAGUUAAUACCUUUGCUCAUUGACGUUACCCGCAGAAGAAGCACCGGCUAACUCCGUGCCAGCCGCCGCGGUAA
This 506-nucleotide ribosomal RNA is filed under the name uncultured bacterium. RNAcentral's name for it is "partial 16S ribosomal RNA". It matches the Rfam family "Bacterial small subunit ribosomal RNA", at positions 30 to 523 of the family's 1533-position model. The record is from RNAcentral.